RNAcentral lists this non-coding RNA (183 nucleotides) under Ricinus communis (castor bean). RNAcentral describes it as "Bacterial large subunit ribosomal RNA". It matches the Rfam family "Bacterial large subunit ribosomal RNA", at positions 2103 to 2284 of the family's 2925-position model. The record is from Rfam by way of RNAcentral. Lineage: Eukaryota; Viridiplantae; Streptophyta; Magnoliopsida; Malpighiales; Euphorbiaceae.
ACUGUUCCCUGGGAUUGGCUUUGGGCCUUUCCUGCGCAGCUUAGGUGGAAGGCGAAGAAGGCCCCCUUCCGAGGGGUCCGAGCCAUCAGUGAGAUACCACUCUGGAAGAGCUAGAAUUCUAACCUUGUGUUAGGACCUACGGGCCAGGGACAGUCUCAGGUAGACAGUUUCUAUGGGGCGUAG